AUCCUUUGGUUCAUGAACGUGAUGAUUGGGUGUUCAUGCUGUAUGCAUGAGAUGUACCGCCCUCAAACCUUGUUACGAUGUUGGCACAUUACCCGUCUGAUC
Molecule: small nucleolar RNA, 102 nt
Organism: Heterocephalus glaber (naked mole-rat)
Lineage: Eukaryota; Metazoa; Chordata; Mammalia; Rodentia; Bathyergidae
Source: Ensembl